GCAAACAAAACAAGACUUGCCUUAUAAACGGUGCCAAAUCCUCCUUGUCCAAGCUUGUUAGCCUCCGCAAAGGACCCUGUUGCCUUUUCAAGGAUGUAGAUGCCAAUCAACACUCCAACGACUAAAACAGCAACAGAGCUCACCAGUGAGACUACAAUUGCUACAAUGGUGCCUGCAGAGUGGGUGAAUGGGAUUUCCACAUUAAGUUUGAACCAGCUUGAGCUUCUGCAUUUAAGAAGUCAACAUUAGAGUAUCUCAUGAAACAACCUGUGUUGAGGGCUCUUGCUU
Molecule: long non-coding RNA, 288 nt
Organism: Cucurbita moschata (crookneck pumpkin)
Lineage: Eukaryota; Viridiplantae; Streptophyta; Magnoliopsida; Cucurbitales; Cucurbitaceae
Exons: 3
Source: RefSeq, a predicted model, not a curated record